This 1100-nucleotide long non-coding RNA is filed under the name Parus major (Great Tit). RNAcentral's name for it is "lncRNA (ENSPMJG00000008184.1)". Lineage: Eukaryota; Metazoa; Chordata; Aves; Passeriformes; Paridae. The record is from RNAcentral.
CUAAAAUAGUGGGAGGCAUUCCAUCAAAUUACUCUCUCCUCCAACUACUUUUCACUUGUUUAAUUUUUCAGACUUUGGGAAAAUUAUUUCUGAAACUACUUUGUUCUUUUACACGUGAGCAUUCAACUCCUGUCAACAUCUGACUGCUUGAUUGCUUGCAACCUGAUCUGCCACUAAAUUUUGCCAUUUCAUCUGCUGUCAUACCCAGACUUGAGAUUUUUUCAUCAAAGCCACUGCCGGACUAAAACAGCUCUCCAAACCCCAUAGUGCUAAUGACGGCUAAAAGUCGUGAGGGGUCUCUGGGUAAACAAAACAUCCUUUCUGUUUCAGUGAUUCCUUGAUGGCUGCAAGCUGCCCUAAUGCUUGCUGAUAGAUAUCUCAGCAUGGGAAUCAUAAGCGUGUGGGAGCAGCAGUAUCUGAAGGAACAUGGGUGGGAUAAGACCUGUAAAGAGGAAAUAUUCCUUGAAGAAAAGUCCUUUUCAUUUCCCUGGACAGCAAUUCUCACUUCUGUGACCUCCUUUGCACCAAAAGGGACAGUAUUGACAAGGCUGUUUGUGUCCCCUGAGACAGAGGAAGUAGCAUGGGGCUCCCUAAAAGAUGGACCAAAAAUCCCCAAGGAGGCAAAUAGAGAGGUGGAUGACCUGGGAAGAACAGGCAUGCUUCUGCUUGUUUGUGUGGGGAAUUGUACUGGUUUUCACUGGGACAGAAUUCUUCAUAGAAACUUGUAUGGUGAUAGCUUUUGGAUUUCUGACCAAAAUGGUGGUAAGAACCCCUCAGUUUAGCUCCUGCAGAACAGGGCUUGUGCAGCCUCAAGCUUUUCUCAUGAUGCUCUCUCAGUGAGUGGACCAGGGUGCACGAGAGGAGAAGACCCAGCCAGGACCACCUGAUGACCACACGGAUAUCCCAAACCAUGUCACAUUGUGCUCAGCAAGAACAACUGAGGAAAGAAGGAGGAAAUGGAGAAUGUUCAGAGUUAAGGCAUUUUUCUUUCCAAAUAACUGUUCCAUGAGAUGGAGUCCUGCUUUCCUGGAGAUGACUGAACACUUGCCUGCCCUUGGAAAGUGGUAAAUAAAUUCCUUGUUUUGCUCUGCUUGUAUGCA